RNAcentral lists this ribosomal RNA (384 nucleotides) under uncultured bacterium. RNAcentral describes it as "bacterial SSU rRNA". It matches the Rfam family "Bacterial small subunit ribosomal RNA", at positions 274 to 675 of the family's 1533-position model. The record is from RNAcentral.
CUAUGACGCAUACCUGGUCUGAGAGGAUGAUCAGGCACACUGGAACUGAGACACGGUCCAGACUCCUACGGGAGGCAGCAGUGGGGAAUAUUGCACAAUGGAGGAAACUCUGAUGCAGCAACGCCGCGUGGAGGAUGACGCAUUUCGGUGUGUAAACUCCUUUUAUAGGGGAAGAUAAUGACGGUACCCUAUGAAUAAGCACCGGCUAACUCCGUGCCAGCAGCCGCGGUAAUACGGAGGGUGCAAGCGUUACUCGGAAUCACUGGGCGUAAAGGAUGCGUAGGCUGGAAAUCAAGUCGAGAGUGAAAUCCAACGGCUCAACCGUUGAACUGCUCUCGAAACUGGUUACCUAGAAUAUGGGAGAGGUAGAUGGAAUUAGUGGUG